AUUUCAUAGGUAACCUUUUUCCAAAGUCUAAAACAAUAUUAUAUAUAUAUAUAUAUAUAUAUAUAUAUAUAUAUAUAUAUAUAUAUGCACUUAUUUAUAUCUAUACUAUUUAUAAAAAAACAGUUUUAAAAUUAGUUUUCUUUUUCAAAAUACGGAUCUCUAUUAAUAUAAUUCUAAUAACAUACUAGCAAUAUCAUUUAUUCAACUUUAAGGUAUUUAUAAUGUACCAUUUGGUUGGGAGAUAAAUAUAGANGAAUAAAAGAGUUUAUACCUUUUCUUCUACCAAAUGAGAUAAAAUAAUAACUAUUCCUCUUUUAACAGGUUAUUUUAGAAUAACGCGUUAAGAGAGAAGAACUAUUAUUUUACAAGAUAAAAAAUGACUAUUCCUUAUUCCUCUCUUAACGGGUUAUUCUAGAAUAAUGCGUUAAGAAAGGAGAACUACUAUUUUUCCCUCCCUAUGGAAUAGCUACUCUUGUUCUUUAUUUUCCACUUUAAAUAAUAAUUUAUUUAUUAAACUAUGAUGAUAAUUAUUAUAUUAUAUUCUUGACAAAUCAAUCCUUAAAAUAUUUUUUUCUAUUAAUUAGUUUCUAAUAAUUAUAAAAUAUUGCUAACUAAUAACUAAUUAACUUAUUUAAUUAUUUACUAACCAUUUGAAUUAUUAGAUUAAUGUAUAUUUAAUUAAAUACUUGAAGAAAUAAUUGAUUAUUUAUGAUCAAUCACUAAUCAAAUGAUAAAUUAAUUAAUAUGUUUAUUCAAAUAAUAACUAAUAUUUAUAAUAAUUAACUAAUUAAUAUUUUAACUUAUCAACUUAAUUUAUUAACUAAAUGUAAAAGUAAGUAAUUAGCUAAUGCAUUUAAUUUAUUUUUAAAUAACUAAGUAACUAAUCAACAUGAUUCUUCAUCAUCUUAUUAAACUAGUGAAAACCCGCGCUUCGCGGCGGUUAAUUAGAUUAGCAUAAAUUUAAGCAGAAAGUAAUAUAACAUAUAUUAUAUAUAAAUAUAAAUCCACAUAUAAUCCUUCACAUAAUAGGGUGCCUCAAACAUUCAGCAUGAAAUAAUAUAAAAUAUAUUGCAAAUUCAGCAUGGGGCAUCAGACUCGUAUGGUUAUCGGAUAUUACCUAGCCCACAACCAAGGCCGCCGGAUUAGAACUGCUCACUGAGUUAGAACCCACAUGAAUACCAAAAAUAAUCUCGAAGUAACAAAUCGAAGUCGAAACAUAAAGCACACAGUAUUAUACGAACCAACGUGGCAUUCAUUAAGAGCGAGUAGUUAAGUAAGAAGGAAAGUAUAUCCAUUAUGGUAUAAUUAACAGUUGAGGACGGAAGAAACACAACUAAGUGGAGACAAAAUUUUAAAAAAGUACACAGCAUUGUAACUGAUACUGCAAAGCCAUUCACCAAAUGCCUUGUGAGUACAACACAUGGCAUCAAAAGGUAGCGCCAGCAUUUAAGAAGCUUCAAUAAUUAAGCCAACGGAUUCGACAGAGCAUCAGAUUCAUUAGCUGCAGUAGCAAAUGGAACAACAUUCACGGCGGUUAAUUAGAUUAGCAUAAAUUUAAGCAGAAAGUAAUAUAACAUAUAUUAUAUUCUUUUGGAAGUUGAACUAUUGCGUACUGUGCAAACAACACUGCAUACUCCAUAGUAACAUAAUCAUAAAAACUCUUGAAGAAGAUAUUGGCGCCACAAUUAACAUCUUUGAUAUGCAAAUCACAUCCAUCUGUGAGUCUCUUAAUCGCAAUAUGGGCAGCAUCUUGCUCAGCCCCGAGAGACAUAAGGGAUUGAGCACCCUAGCACCGGAUAGCUGCAUAGUUGACAUCGUAACAACUGCAAGAAGAAGGAAGCAAAAUUUUGCUAUGGAAAAGUUUCCACAACCACUCUAUAAUUCACAAAUGAGAAGUUGAAAGGAGAGCAGCAGCAGCAGUAAGCUUGUGCUGCUGCUGUGCAUGCAGCUACUGCUGCUGAUUGUAGAGCAGCUGCUGCUGACUGCACAGUUGCGGCAGCAGAAGCUGCAGCUGCAGGGGGCAGUGAAAAACAAAGAAAGAAAGAGAGAAAGAGAGAGAAAGAAAAAGAGAAAGAGGGAGAGAAAGGAAAAUUUCUGCAACUUAUAAAGAGGAAGAGAAAAGAGGAAAGUCACCUAUUAACUAUUAUAAUAGCAAGAAAGUGUAGCAGACAAUGUAAACUGAAACGACAACAGAGAGUUCUUUGGGAAAUCAUUGUUCGAAGUAAAUAGUUUAUGUACUUUCUUCAGCUUAAAUAAGAUAGCUCUAUUAUGUUCAAUGAAAAUAUUAUAUUAGGCUAUGGUAAAUGAAUAAAAAAACAUAAUCCAAAGAAUCAUCAAAAGAAUAUGCAUACAAAAAAAAUUCCAGGAAGAAUUCAAUUCAAAUGCCGACGGCCAAACGAAGAAGAGUAUUUAAAAAGUCAAUAAGCAGGGAACAAUUCAACCAAUUGUAUAAAUUAUGUUGCAAAACCAAUCUAAAGAAUCACCCAAAAAGGGGACAAAAAGGUAAGGCUCAGUUAAAUUGAAUCGGCAACAUUGGUCAUAAGUACUCGGCAACAUUGCUCAUAAGUAUAGGGCAGUAGUAGGACCAAUAGAUUACCGUAGGAGGGAAAUGCCCACUGCCGCCAAGAAUAAGAAUGGCAGGAAGCAGCUCCUGAAUAAUAAAUUACUAUUGUGGAAAAAUGUGCGCAACCAGCAAGGGUAAGACAAUAUGUAGCGGGUGCCUAUGAGUAGGCCGUCCAAACUUCCACUUGUUUGAAGUAAACAUUUUCCACAUUUUGCGGUUGCCGAGCAAUAAAUGACCGUUAAAGGGAAGUGUGCGUAGCCACCAAGGCUAAGACAAUAUGAGGCGGUUGCCUAUGAGCAGGCCGUCAAAACUUCUACUUGUUCGAAGUAAACAUUUUCGACACUUUGCGGUUGCCGAAACAAUAAAUCACCGUUAAAGGGAAAUGUGCGCAACCACCAACGCUAAGACAAUAUGAGGCGGCUGCCUAUGAGUAGGCCAUCCAAACCCCAACUUGUUAGAAGCAAAUAUUUUCCGCAUUUCCCUCAACUUAUCAUCAUCGCCUCAAUAAAGAGAUAGAAAAAAGAAAGAAACAGCAAGGGAAAUAUCCUUCAACAAAACAGAAAAUAAAUUUUGAGCAGGAGAACAAAAUCUUCAAGAUGGUUCUAUUGUGUUCAAUGAAAAUACUAUAAUAGAUUAUGAUAAAUGAAUAGAAAAACAAAAUACAAAGAAUCGUCGAAAGAAUAUGCAAAUUGAAAUUUGAGUCAAUAGAAUCGCCAGCAGGGAUGCAAACAACAAAUUUGCUAAAAACAUCAAUUAUAUAACUUUCAAUCACACUUUUCAGUACGAAUAAAAUACAACUGAUGCUCCAUUUUCAUAUUGAUGGAAAUCAUCAGUAGUGCUAAUUGAGUGAGGACCCAUAUGCACACCAAAAGUAUUCCAAGUACAAAUAAGAACAACUGGUUGUCUACAGAGAUACGAAUAUACAUCGCGAAUUCUGAUAGCUUAGUUUCAAAAAAAUCAUCAUAAAGAGCACGAUGAUCAGAUUAGUUGUAGCAAAUAAGAUAUUCAAAGUAUUAAUUAACAUAAUUUGAAGUGACAGAUAGAAGUUCUAGUUUAAUUUGAUCUGCUAGCAACAAAAUCAAGAAUUAAAGAAGACUCCGCUUAAAAAGAUUCUUUUAUUUUUUUAACAAUUUUUUGAGGCAGGGAUAGUCCUCUUCUUAAAUAUAUAGGCGUAGUGAGAAUCUGCAUAAACUUAAAAGGCAAGAAAGAUGCAUUAGGUUAUAAUCGAAUCAAAAGGAGAACCUACGCAGCGGGAAUUUCAUGUAAAUUAGUACAUCCAUUUAUACAGUCAACUAUAGUUCAAAAGGAGAAAUAAAAGUUGCUAUGAGAAGUUCAAUAUUUGUUUCAACUGUUUUCAUUAAUAUCAAGUAAGCUGCAAAGUCGGCAAUUUAACCACAAAGUCUUCAUCAACAUCAGUCUUUAUCAACAUUAGCUAAACUGCAAAGUCAGGAAGAUGAGAUUAUCAUUUGUCAGCUAAUAGUAAAUGGAGUUACUAUAUGAAUUCUCAAAAUAUAUAUAUUAAGUCAUACGUAAGGUGGCGCUUCUUUGCCUCCGGAAUUUCACAUAAUUGAUCAGAUGCUUGUGCUGAGCUGUUAACGAAAACGUGAAAAACAUUUUAACAGCAAAAGAAACAGUUCAUUUUCUUCAGUCUUAAAUAAGUAAUAUAUAGAAAUAUAAGAACAAACCUAGAAGGAAUGGCUGAAGCGGGAGGUAAUUCUAGUAAUAAUUCUGUGCGAGGCUGCUUCUUGUUAGGAGGUGAGUAUGGUUGAUCUUCACAUUUUACAAAUGUUUUUCCUUUCACAUCAUUGUUUAACGUAAAAAUUUUUAGUACUUUAAAAGUAGAUGCAGUUGUCCUAAAUCUCUGCGCAUCAGGUACAAUUUGGAAAAUGUGUUUUUGAUUGAUAACUGUUUUUAUUAUAGUAGGAAUAGUGAAUUUAUCCGAAUCGACUGCUGAUGCCAAAAUUUGUGCAGGAAUACGAAGCAGAUCCUGCGCUAACCGGCCAAAUAUAGUAAAGUUAGCUAUGCCACUGCCGUCUUCAACAAUUGUACUCAAUCUAUACCUAAUUUUGUAAAGGAAAUAAGAAUUAGGCAUCUACAUUAGGACAAUACUCAGGCACCAAGUUAACAUAUUUAUUCUUUAAAAAAAGUAUUUACCAUGGAAUGGGGGAUUGUUCGCUGCUGUUACAACGGGAGCACCAAAAUGUAUCGUCACACGUCUUGACGGCUGUUUUGCAAUUAUGACAUGCUUUAUACCACCACCCAUAAGAUGUAUCAAUUUCAGCAAUUGUAGCUUCACAUGUGAACUUCGCAUUCUAUCCACAGAUAGAAUUUAGGGAAAAAAUCAUUCCAACAAAUAGCAUAGAAAGAUAAAAUUAUAGAAGGUUGUUAUAUUAUAAACUUAUAAACUUACUUCAGAAUCAGUAAGAUCAAGGCUUAGCAGUUCAGCAAUUGAUUUUCUAUUCGCGCACAUUUCUUCUUGAGGGGAAAUAAGUUUUUGUUCACCAUAAGUGAUUCGUUGUAUUGCAUUAGGUUCAUGUUGUCUGCAGCUAAUAAAAAUGUGCAUAGUAAUAAAAGACAUUAAGGAAUUAAGUAAUUAAGUAAGUAAUUAAGUAAGUAAGGAUAAAAGAAAAGUUUAUUUGCUGCCAAACCUAUUCAAAAAUUCCAAAACUUCUGGAAUUUCCAAGUUAAAAUAUAUCUUCGAUGCUGAGCAUGUUGAUAAAUGCACCUUCUCUACAUUGGAGUUUUUUAAAAAAGUCAAAAUAAUAGCAAACAAUGCAUGAUAAUAUUAAAAUUAAAAUUCAUAUGUUUACAUAUUAACCUUUAAAUGUGCGUACUGUCAUCGCGGCUAGAAUUAUGAUUAUAGAAUGUGUAGCUCCUUUCUUUGAAAUAUCUUCUUCAUCAAAAUUUGUUGCAAAUGUAUCCCAUAGCGUCACAGGCAUGAUGUUUUUACUGCAAAAUAAAGUAUAUUAUUUAGUGUAUAUAUAUAUAUAUAGAGAGAGAGAGAGAGAGAGAGAAAGAGAGUAAAUUUAGUUGAAAAGAAUAUAACAUGCAAAUACGAAUCAUUUACUCUAAAUCUUCUAUUUCCAAAUUUCUAAUAGGAGUCAAAGUUUGCCCAAUAUAUCUAUGGGUAAUUUCGCCGAUAACUGCAAUUUUCCCAAUAACAUCUACACAACAUAACACGAAUGAUUAGUAAGUAUAUAUAAACAUUUGAAUUCAAAGAAAAUUUUAUUUUCAGCGAACAUUACCUGUUAAAACCGCAUCGUUGUAACGUUUCUUUUCAAUUUCAAAGAAAGUAGAGAAAUUAAAACUGUACAGCGGGAUUGCUUCAGAAUCUUCUUGAACUUUAGUUACUUGUGUUGAUUUGUUUAUUUGGAUCAUAUAAUGACGGUCGACAGCAACAAAUUUUUUUCUAUUUGGAAUAAUACUGAAUUUCUCUAUUAGAUAGAUGCUGCCUUCUGUAAUUUGGCAUUUAAACGCUUCAACAUCUUGCUUGCGUAUUGUUGCUUGCAUGGAAAAGCCCUAAUCCAUGUCAAAAUUUAUGAAGGAAAAGAAACAUCAGCGAAAAAUAGAGAAGUCAAUGAAAGAAUUGCUAGGAGGGUUGGAAAUUUGAUCACCUUUUCAUCUAUCAAUAGACAAUCUAGGCUGAAAAUAUUUGCUUUCAAAUGCGGGGCAGUUGAUUCCCAUAUCCGGCAGAUUCGUACUUUGAUCUUGCAAUCUUGCUGGUGUAGUGAUAAUUCCGAUAAAAGUUUAAUCUCCAUUGUAACUGGAAGAUUCACCGUAUCAACGUGAGGGGAAAAUUAAUAUACGAAUAAAGAGAAAGAAGUAAAUAAAUUUCUCUAAUUAAAAACAGGAAAAUCAUAUGCUGCUAACCCGAUUAUUCUAUUUUAAAUCUUCAAAUAUUUCAUGGUAAACAAUAUUUCUUGUAUAUCCUUCAGGUUCUUUAUCUUUUGUUUCCAAAUAGAUUCUCAAACCUUUCCGCGAAGUUACUCUUGAAAUUGCUACGUAAAGUUGUCCGUGUGAGAACACAUGAUGCGAUAAAUAAAGACCAACUUUCUGCAAUGUUUGUCCUUGACUUUUAUUAAUUGUCAUUGCAUAACUGACACGAACUGGGAAUUGCCUUCUUUUAAGUACGAAUGGCCAUUUAGAUUCUGUUACGUUCAUUAUUAUGCGAGGGAUGAAAACCUUUUCUCCAAUGCGGUUGCCGGUGAAAAUUUGUGCUUCAAUAACUCUAGGAGCUAGCUGAGUUAUAAUCAAGCGAGUCCCAUUACACAAACCAGCACUUUGAUUAAUGUUACGAAGCAGCAUGAUUGGACUUCCCACUUUCAGCAUCAAUUCGUGAUUCGGGACUCCAUUAAAUUUUAAAGAAUUUAAGAAAUCAAUCGGAUAAAGUAGAUUAUUUUCUUCAGAAUUUUUUGAUGAACCACAAAUUGAAUCCGAACUUAAAUAUAAGCGCUCCUCUGUUUGUAACAAUGAGAGAACGAAAUUGUUGAUUUCAUCCACACUUUCAUUCCUAGGUGUAACGAUAGCUCUAUCUCGUAGAUAAUCAGGAUCAUUGUAGUUUUCUUCAAUACAAUCAUAUAUUUCUGAAACAAUUGUUUUGAUUCCAUCUUGGUCAGGUUUUAUCAACAUAUCAUCAGGAAUUUUGAUCCAAGUUGGUUCUUCUUCGUCUUCUAAUUUUAUAGCAUUUAUUUUUCCAUCACCAACAUCAAGAACCCAUUUGUUGAAUUCUACGAAAGAAAUGUCUGUUGUGCUGUCUGCUGAGCCUCGGAGCAAUCUCAUAUUUGUAGUCAGUCGGAAAACUUUACAUUUACUCCAUAUGUAUGACCUUGUGAGCGAUGCACUUAAAAUAUCCUGUCUGGUUCCACCAACAAUAACCGGUAGAAUUUGCCUAAAGUCUCCACCCAAAAUAACAGUUUUUCCUCCGAAAAAUUUUUCACCAAUGCUUGAGUUGUUUGUUUCCAUAAUAUCUUUUAAUGAUUUAUCCAAAGCCUCAAAACAAUUCCUAUGAUUCAUCGGAGCCUCAUCCCAAAUAAUCAAAGAAGCUUCUGCGAUUAAAUUUGCAAGUUGCGUGCCCUUCUUAAUUUCACAAACGGAACAAUCAUCAAUUUUUAUAGGAAUUUUAAAUCUUGAAUGCGCUGUGCGCCCCCCGGGCAACAAAAGUGAUGCUAUUCCUGAGGAAGCAACAGCUAAAACUAUUCUUCCUUCAGAACGUAAUUUUGCAAUUAUAGUUUUCCAAAGGUAUGUCUUACCUGUUCCACCAUGGCCAUAAACAAAUAUAAUAUCUCCAAUAUUUUGAUACACAGAGGCCAUAACAGCAUUAUAUAUGAUUGUUUGUUCGCUAUUUAAGCCAGCAAACAAUUCUAUAUAUUCUCGCAAUAGCUCAUCUCUGUUGUAAUCUAAUUCUUCUGCAAGUAAUCUAUUAUUUAAUGCAUCAGAAAUCAACCUAUUGGGAGUCGGCAGGUUAUACUGCGAUAGUGAGCUACUAUUCUUAUUGAAUAAAACCUCAAGCUCAAAUAGAAUGUGAUUUUGAAGGUCAAUUUGAGGCAUCUGAAGAUUUUCAAUGCCCAAAACACGUUUCAGUCUAUAUAAUAUAUCAUCAGCCAUUAAUUUCCAAUAUUCAUCCCAUAAUUUAAGAGGAUUCACAACUUCACAAUAUAUCACCAAUGUUGCAAAUAAUUGUCUAAGUUCAGCUGAGCCUGACCAGUGUGAAGCUUCUUCCAAUGCUUCUUUCCAUUCUCUAUCAUCACCAAGUAAACCAAGAGUGUCGCAUGCAGCGCGAAAUGUCUCAUGUACCACACCAUUCACAGUCCUAAUCUCUAGAUAACUUCUUGGUCCUUUGACUACAUUUAAAAGCAUUCGUAAAAAAUACAAUUCCCCUGCAUUUGGAUGAAUAUAAACUAUUCUACCAAUACGGGAUCCUUGUUUUCGCCUGGACCAAAAUUUAUCUGUUGCAUGCCAAACCCAUUUUGAUGGAAAUUCAGUAUAUGUUAAUUGUCGAGCAUCAUCGUAAGCAAGAUUGGUUUUCAUCCAUUCAGUAAACAUUGUUUUCUCAAUAUUAGGACGAUUCAGAACAUUAAUUAAAUUCUGAGCACCAUGAUAUAUAACAUUAUUCAUCAUGGGCAGGUGAACAGUUAACCGUUCAACAGAUGGCUGUCUAAAGUGUAUAUCGAAUUCAAACAACCUCCAAAUUGCUUCAUGCGCUGAUAAAUAUCUACAAUCCAAGUAUUGCUUAAUUUCAUCAACAUUCUUAUAUUGUCGUCGAGGAGUUGCACCGUCCUUAUGUACUGUCACGCCCCGCCCCGAAUCCACUACCAAUUUGGCACGGUUCGGGCACAUCAGACGGACCGCCGAACAGACAGUACCUCUCCUGUCCGCCCAAGGCCAAGCAACCAGAUCAUGUACAAUUAAGCACCCAGGAAUUUGCUUAAAUAACAUACAUGAUCAAAUACGAUGCACACAAGUGCAAUACAUCUAAGAGCAAGAACCACAAGUGAUAUACAAGUGUAUAAAGAGAGAUAGUCUAACUAUCACAAUCAUUCAACAUUUACAUUAUUUGAAUAUAUUAUAUUUUCAUCUUCCAAAAUGUAAGUACAUGUUUUCUUCAAAAUACAAGUAGCUCUCUGAUAUCUAUCCAAAAUAUCAACUAGUACACGAGGGUACUCUAAUGCAUAAGGAAAAGCUACUAACUAGGCUCACUUAGGGCGCUAUGCCCUUGCCGCGGUCCUCGCUCGGCUCGCCUCUAUGUGUACCUGUACCCCAAAACCACACGGGGUGAGAACUAUAUAAAUAUAGUUCCCAGUGGGUUCGGCCGCCGACGCCGCCGGUUUUCCCACUAGGUCUAAGCUGGCACAGAUAGAGAGAUAGAUAGAUAGAUAAAAGUAAACUGCGACUACUCUAUCAUGCCAUCAACGAUGAUAAUGCAUGCAACAACUACUAUCAUGCGAGAAUCAUGUCAUGAGUAUAGAAAAGUACAUAGUAAUGCAAUCUACAACAUACACUAUGUCUACUCGAGGUAAUGCAUGAACAUAGCAAUGAUAUUCUACUAAUCAUGAUACUAUGCUUCAACAAUAAUGGAAAUGAGCUACUACAUAGUGAUGUAUCUACAACAUGCUACUAUGUCUCAAUGUCAACUCAAGGUAUGAAUGCAAAUCUGCUAUGCCAUUCAUAUUCUUUACCCAAUCUGCUUGGAAAUGAGCUACUACAUAGUGAUGUAUCUGCACAUGCUACUAUGCCUCAAUAAUCCAAAUGAACGAGCUACACAGUGCGUCGUGCAACUAUGCCUCGGUAGUAUCCAAUCUCAUGGCCAACCCGAAGGUUGCCACCCCGGGGUCAACCCCGACUCACUCUCAAUCUCAUAGGUGAGGAGAAACUGCACUCGCACACCGAGACCGUCUGCGGGACAACUACGUCUGCCCCUAGUGAAGUACUCCGGAGACUCGUGCCUCGGUGGAGCGACCACCGACAAGCAAAAACAGACUAGUGAGUAUGAUCCAAUCCUCACAAGAGGAUACCCUAUCUACAAGGGUCAACGUGCCUCUGCUGCACAAUGUACAAUGCAUCCUAGAUGCCGGGAUCUCUACUAUCCCUAAGUACAUGUCGAGUUUACUACACUAGACUCAAUGCCACUCGUUUAGUCAUUGUAGUAAAUGUCUCAAUUAUUCUACAUGUUAUUUGUUCAUGUCAUAGUGUCUCUCCUACACUAGUUCAAUGCCACUCUACUAGGCUAUGUCCAAAUUCAUCACUUUUGCCACUAUAGGAUUCUUUGUCUCAAGACCCAAUCCUCAUGCCUCCCUAGUCCAAGUGUUAGGUCCAUACCGCUACACUACUAAGUAAGCAUGCAAGGAAUGGAAAUAUACUUUACUAAUCCUAUAAUGCUCAAUCAAUAUAUGAUGAAUAAAAUUAACUUAGGCAUAAAAGGAAACCCGGAUGUUUCGGGAUGACACCCCCCACCUUUUACCGCUAUCACGAGGCUAGGUUCUCAAUUGCACGUUCCCUAGUCGCCGCUUUACUCUUCGGUCGCACCUGCUCGACGAAUCGACGAACCGACGCUUCACACGCGUUUAGGCACCUCAAACACAAGCUUUUCCUCAAACCAAGUAAUGAAGAGGAUGAAGACUUCACCUCCAAGCAACCUUUUUCUUCUCCAAAUGCACCUCCAAUUCCUCUCUUUGGUGGAGAAAUUGUUAGAGAGAGAGAGAUAUUUCUCUUUGGUUGCAAGUGUGAGGGAGAAAGAAAGAAAAUGCUCAAGUCCCCUAUAUAUAUAUAUAGGAAACUUGGCCUCCAAGUUUCAUAGGAAACUUGGUCUCCAAGUGUCAUAGGAAACUUAGCCUCCAAGUUUCAUAGGAAACUUGGCCUCCAAGUUAUCUAGGAAACUUGGCCUCCAAGUUAUCCAAGAACACUAUUCACAUUCAGUUUAGCAGCACGGUACAGAUAUUUUUCGUCUGCCCUGUCUCUCACAGAAAAUUCUAAAUCUUCUGUUUUCGCUUCCAUUUCAACACGGGUCACUCUAGACUUAUAAUUUAUGUCUAUAAGUCCAAUAAAAAUAGUAUCCCACACUAUUUUUAUUUAUUUCCACUUUUACAUUUAAAAUCCGGUACCUUACAUCCUCCCCUCCUUAAAAGGAGUUUCGUCCUCGAAACUCAAAUCUCAUCUCAAUUCGAGUUUUCGAGCAUCUGAAGGUAACAAUGCACUUUUGCACUCCGGAGUGGCCUUUUUCUUAUCGGAACUAUCCAAAGGCCCACUACAGAGGAUAUGAGACCAAAUUCACUCACAUUUGCUAAGCACAACACCAAAAGUGCAUUACGGUUCCGCAAGUCUUGGUGGCAGCGUAAGUCGACACUCGACAACUCUACACGCUCCAACACUACUUGCGACCGAAUCUAGGGAAUAUACUUCGAUUCGAUCACUGGCAUUGCCUAGAAGCAAUAUCAUUGGUGCAUCGACCCAUCGCAAGUGCCACUAUCACAAUCGAAUUUGCUUUACUACGAGAUGGCACCCUUCGGCACAUCUCCAAUGUUAAUCCUCCAGAGAGCAUAUUCUCAGAUCUCGUGUGGCAAUCCAAUAUCCAAGUGUCUCCAAGAGACCACUUUACUUUCUCUUUCCAUUGCCGCGGCUGAUAUCAAUUCGUUCCUGCAAUGAAUUCACAUGAACACUUUGUUCGCGAAUCCGAGCCAAACUCCUCGACAGAGUCACCGGCCAAACCGCUCACCUUGGCUUUCCAUGGGUGGACCAAAGGUCACCAACCAUACGUAGAUCUGCCGCCCAAACCUAUCUCAACACGUAGCGUCUCUCGCUCGCAAGCGUGGACCCAAUCAACACUACUGGGCGAAAUUCUCACUUGGGAAUUCGCACACACUCCGACUAGGAGCAACUAUGACCCCAAACCACGUCAGGUCCUCGGGUUGGGUUACUGCACACUCGGUGUGUCAUCGAUCUCGUAAUCCACACGUGGCAUUCCACGCUCCCGGGUCUAUGCUCGGACUACCACCCUGACCAAAACUCUGCCCUACCCGUAGGUACCGGGCCGCUGCCACUCGCAGCCGACUGUGCCUACCCAAUGGGCCCAGGCUUCACAGUCCACAAAUGGUCCAGGCACGGGUCGUCCCCAAGCACUACCCGCCGUCGUCAUCCUACACGACAUGUUCUACCGAGUCAGACGUACCACUAUCGUCUCCUAAGCACCUAGUGCGAGCCAUCAGCCCCACGAGUGACCCAUGGCCUGCUUCACACUUAGCAAUGCUACAGUGCUACUGCCAUCUCACUCCUCCGGCUGAAUAAAAUCCGCACUCCACGAGUAUUUACACUCGAGCGCUCUACGCCUCUACAGCGUUCCACACGAAAUCUAGCAUUAGGCAAUCUUGCCUAUGCACACCGGCCGCACAAGCACAGCCGCCUACCUCACCUUAAGGUACUACUAGGCCCAUGUGCUCAAACUUGGCCACUAAUCGACCGUCCUCUCAACAAUGACUCUACCUUCAUCGUCCAAUCUACCGGAACAAUAUCCGAAAUUUUCGGAUUACUCGGGUGCCUACAAAUAUCAUGGCUCAACUCUCGCAAUCUACUGAGCAUGUUGCCUUGAGAGUCGCCUCACCAUUUCAGCUACACCACGAGUCUCAUUUCUCGUCCAUAGGCCACUACUAGCAAUUUGCUAGUGACGUCUAGCUUUCUACCUGCUCCAGCAGACGCUAUACUCUCUCACACAAGCAUGCCCGGGUACCCUCACCUACCCGUCCACUGGUCCCUACUAUACUAAUGCAUAAAUAGUAGCAACUGACCAUGAAAAUGCAUGCAAUGCACCAAUUUAACAUCAUGCAGAAACACACAUUUGCUGCAACUAAACCAUACUUGCCAUGGCAUCUUCGACAGCAGCAUGUUCCUCGACUUGAGCGGCAAACACCUGGUCACUCGGAGUCGACUGGGCCACCUCAGGCUGACGAGGUGCCAUCGCGUGUCCAGCUAAAGCAACAGUAGGUGGGGCUCCUCCAUAAUGGCCCGAAAUCGCCAAAGACGAUGCAACAGACGGGACAGGCGAGGUCCUCCUUGGACAGUGGCGGCUAAUGUGCCCCGCCUGACCACACGUGAAGCAUCUUCCCUCUUUUUGCUUGCAAUGGUUCGGGUCAUGUUUACCUCCGCAAAUGACGCACUUCCGAGUCCCACAACUCUGGGACCGUGCUCGCGGAUACUUCGGAGGCUUCUUAGACCAUGACUGACCUCUCGAGCCAUCAGAAGCUCGCUUCUUACCGCCGUCCCUCUUGGACGCCUCUCGCUCCUCGCGGACGUGGGCAUUACUAUGCUCCGCCCGCAACGCUCGAUCAAGCACUUCCGCAAAUGUAGUGAGCUUCAGAAUGUAAACCGCUCUAUAUAUAUCCGGUCGGAGCCCUCUCACGAACCAGUUGGCCCGAUCUCUAUCGUCUCGCACCACGUCGGGGACGCAGUCAAUAAUACGUGAGAACUCCUGCUCGUACUCUUCGACCGAGCGGUUUCUUUGCUCUAACUUUCGGAAUUUAUCCUGGAGCUUCCUUUUCUCACUAUCGGGGAAAAAGUUGACAUAUAACAAGCUCCGAAACCCUUUCCAUAUCAACGGCGGAAGGUCGGGAGACCGAUCUCGCUUGAUCCGCUUCCACCACACCUUCGCCGCCCGCUCCAAGCAAUGAGUGGCGAGGGGAACUUUAUCAUUCUCUAAUAUAUAGAGAUCUUCGAAAAGAGUCUCCAUCGAGUCCACCCACGACUCGACCAUCCAAGGCUCAACCUUCUCCCCGUUGAACAUCGGUGGACUAAACUUCCGAAAUUUCAUAAGAGCCGCAAGCGCGCGGUCCCUCUCCGCUUCCGUAGCUACCUCUUCGGGAUUUGAAGUCCCCGAACCGGUAGCCACCAUCGUCAGUGCGGAUUGCGCCGCAACCGGCACAGCUGCCGUGGCCACACCCUUUGUCACGACGGGCACGACCACCGAAGGCGCGGGCCGCUCAACAUUCGCUUGAGCCGACGCCAGCUGCGCUACCAACUGUUGUAGCCUCGCAAUCUGGUCCUCUUGGCGCUGCAUCGCGCCGACCAUCGAAGCGAUCUGCGCUCGCAAUUCCCGCACUUCUUCAGAUCCCGACUGCUCGGGCACCUCGGGAGGUGGUGCCAGAGUGGAUCUAGUCACGGGGCGUCUCUUUGGUGCCAUAGCACCUGAAACGCAACAACUUGGUUAAUCACCUUAACCCGUUAAUCUCGUCGCAACUACUAGACAACGUGACUCAACUCCGCCAUAAGCGGCAGUACACUAUUGUAUUAGUCCUAACUCUUAGCGUCGUGUUGUCGGCCGCCAACACAAACUCCUCGAGCUCGGAACUAACACCGCUCGGAUCUAUCUCUAGUCACACUAGAGAUCUAUACUCGAUCCGACCCAAUCGGAUUCUUCCUCAACCGAUAUAGGUUUACGUUUCUCUCACGUACUUAUCACCUUAGGGUUGCCAACCUAGGUCUCCUAGGUCCAUCCUAGACUCUCUCUUUACUUGCUCUUAAUCGCUCUGAUACCAUAACUGUCACGCCCCGCCCCGAAUCCACUACCAAUUUGGCACGGUUCGGGCACAUCAGACGGACCGCCGAACGGACAGUACCUCUCCUGUCCGCCCAAGGCCAAGCAACCAGAUCAUGUACAAUUAAGCACCCAGGAAUUUGCUUAAAUAACAUACAUGAUCAAAUACGAUGCACACAAGUGCAAUACAUCUAAGAGCAAGAACCACAAGUGAUAUACAAGUGUAUAAAGAGAGAUAGUCUAACUAUCACAAUCAUUCAACAUUUACAUUAUUUGAAUAUAUUAUAUUUUCAUCUUCCAAAAUGUAAGUACAUGUUUUCUUCAAAAUACAAGUAGCUCUCUGAUAUCUAUCCAAAAUAUCAACUAGUACACGAGGGUACUCUAAUGCAUAAGGAAAAGCUACUAACUAGGCUCACUUAGGGCGCUAUGCCCUUGCCGCGGUCCUCGCUCGGCUCGCCUCUAUGUGUACCUGUACCCCAAAACCACACGGGGUGAGAACUAUAUAAAUAUAGUUCCCAGUGGGUUCGGCCGCCGACGCCGCCGGUUUUCCCACUAGGUCUAAGCUGGCACAGAUAGAGAGAUAGAUAGAUAGAUAAAAGUAAACUGCGACUACUCUAUCAUGCCAUCAACGAUGAUAAUGCAUGCAACAACUACUAUCAUGCGAGAAUCAUGUCAUGAGUAUAGAAAAGUACAUAGUAAUGCAAUCUACAACAUACACUAUGUCUACUCGAGGUAAUGCAUGAACAUAGCAAUGAUAUUCUACUAAUCAUGAUACUAUGCUUCAACAAUAAUGGAAAUGAGCUACUACAUAGUGAUGUAUCUACAACAUGCUACUAUGUCUCAAUGUCAACUCAAGGUAUGAAUGCAAAUCUGCUAUGCCAUUCAUAUUCUUUACCCAAUCUGCUUGGAAAUGAGCUACUACAUAGUGAUGUAUCUGCACAUGCUACUAUGCCUCAAUAAUCCAAAUGAACGAGCUACACAGUGCGUCGUGCAACUAUGCCUCGGUAGUAUCCAAUCUCAUGGCCAACCCGAAGGUUGCCACCCCGGGGUCAACCCCGACUCACUCUCAAUCUCAUAGGUGAGGAGAAACUGCACUCGCACACCGAGACCGUCUGCGGGACAACUACGUCUGCCCCUAGUGAAGUACUCCGGAGACUCGUGCCUCGGUGGAGCGACCACCGACAAGCAAAAACAGACUAGUGAGUAUGAUCCAAUCCUCACAAGAGGAUACCCUAUCUACAAGGGUCAACGUGCCUCUGCUGCACAAUGUACAAUGCAUCCUAGAUGCCGGGAUCUCUACUAUCCCUAAGUACAUGUCGAGUUUACUACACUAGACUCAAUGCCACUCGUUUAGUCAUUGUAGUAAAUGUCUCAAUUAUUCUACAUGUUAUUUGUUCAUGUCAUAGUGUCUCUCCUACACUAGUUCAAUGCCACUCUACUAGGCUAUGUCCAAAUUCAUCACUUUUGCCACUAUAGGAUUCUUUGUCUCAAGACCCAAUCCUCAUGCCUCCCUAGUCCAAGUGUUAGGUCCAUACCGCUACACUACUAAGUAAGCAUGCAAGGAAUGGAAAUAUACUUUACUAAUCCUAUAAUGCUCAAUCAAUAUAUGAUGAAUAAAAUUAACUUAGGCAUAAAAGGAAACCCGGAUGUUUCGGGAUGACACCCCCCACCUUUUACCGCUAUCACGAGGCUAGGUUCUCAAUUGCACGUUCCCUAGUCGCCGCUUUACUCUUCGGUCGCACCUGCUCGACGAAUCGACGAACCGACGCUUCACACGCGUUUAGGCACCUCAAACACAAGCUUUUCCUCAAACCAAGUAAUGAAGAGGAUGAAGACUUCACCUCCAAGCAACCUUUUUCUUCUCCAAAUGCACCUCCAAUUCCUCUCUUUGGUGGAGAAAUUGUUAGAGAGAGAGAGAUAUUUCUCUUUGGUUGCAAGUGUGAGGGAGAAAGAAAGAAAAUGCUCAAGUCCCCUAUAUAUAUAUAUAGGAAACUUGGCCUCCAAGUUUCAUAGGAAACUUGGUCUCCAAGUGUCAUAGGAAACUUAGCCUCCAAGUUUCAUAGGAAACUUGGCCUCCAAGUUAUCUAGGAAACUUGGCCUCCAAGUUAUCCAAGAACACUAUUCACAUUCAGUUUAGCAGCACGGUACAGAUAUUUUUCGUCUGCCCUGUCUCUCACAGAAAAUUCUAAAUCUUCUGUUUUCGCUUCCAUUUCAACACGGGUCACUCUAGACUUAUAAUUUAUGUCUAUAAGUCCAAUAAAAAUAGUAUCCCACACUAUUUUUAUUUAUUUCCACUUUUACAUUUAAAAUCAGGUACCUUACAUGUACAUUAUUUUCUAUAACAACUGCAGAUCUAUCCGGACCUUUAUUGAUAUACUUGAAUAAAUAUUUAAUAAGCCUCGAUUUAUUACACCAUUCAACGUUAAUAUGA
This 17010-nucleotide long non-coding RNA is filed under the name Ananas comosus (pineapple). RNAcentral describes it as "long non-coding RNA (ACOM_LNC022385)". The record is from RNAcentral. Lineage: Eukaryota; Viridiplantae; Streptophyta; Magnoliopsida; Poales; Bromeliaceae.